Molecule: ribosomal RNA, 460 nt
Filed under: uncultured bacterium
Lineage: Bacteria
Description: partial 16S ribosomal RNA
Rfam family: Bacterial small subunit ribosomal RNA
Source: RNAcentral
CCUACGGGAGGCAGCAGUGAGGAAUAUUGGUCAAUGGACGAGAGUCUGAACCAGCCAAGUAGCGUGAAGGAUGACUGCCCUAUGGGUUGUAAACUUCUUUUAUAUGGGAAUAAAAUGUUCCACGUGUGGGAUUUUGUAUGUACCAUAUGAAUAAGGAUCGGCUAACUCCGGGCCAGCAGCCGCGGUAAUACGGAGGAUCCGAGCGUUAUCCGGAUUUAUUGGGUUUAAAGGGAGCGUAGGUGGAUUGUUAAGUCAGUUGUGAAAGUUUGUGGCUCAACCGUAAAAUUGCAGUUGAAACUGGCAGUCUUGAGUACAGUAGAGGUGGGCGGAAUUCGUGGUGUAGCGGUGAAAUGCUUAGAUAUCACGAAGAACUCCGAUUGCGAAGGCAGUUCACUGGACUGCAACUGACACUGAGGCUCGAAAGUGUGGGUAUCAAACAGGAUUAGAUACCCUUGUAGUC